UGAAGCUGCGAACGGCUCAUUACAACAGUUAUAGUCGAUUGGACGACGCUAAUUACAUGGAUAACCGUGGUAAUUCUAGAGCUAAUACAUGCACCGAUGUUCGACCGUAAGGAAGAGCAGUGUCUAAUUGGAUAACGAACCAUUACGCUUUGCGUCUCUUUUGGUGAGUCAUGAUGAUUUAACAAAUCGAACGGCUUCGGCUGUCGAUGUGUCCUUUGAGUUUCUGGCCUAUCAGCUUUCGACGGUAGGGUAUUGGCCUACAGUGGCUACGACGGGUAACGGAGAAUUAGGGUUCGAUUCCGGAGAGGGAGCCUGAGAGACGGCUACCACAUCUAAGGAUAGCAGCAGGCGCGCAAAUUACCCAAUCCUGACACAGGGAGGUAGUGACAAGAAAUAACAACACAGGGCAAUUGCUUUGUGAUUGGAAUGAGUGCAGUUCAAAAGUCUGCGCAAGUACCAAUUGGAGGGCAAGCCUGGUGCCAGCAGCCGCGGUAAUUCCAGCUCCAAUAGCGUAUAUUAAAGUUGUUGCAGUUAAAAAGCUCGUAGUUGGAUUAUUUGCACUAUGUGACGUUGCAGACCUUCGGGCCGGGCGUCUUACGUGUGCAUUUGCCUUUACCUUUCGGGGUUUUGGGCCUUUUACUUUGAGAAAAUUAGAGUGUUCCAAGCAGGUCAAUCCUUGAAUAUUGCAGCAUGGAAUAAUAAUCUAGACUCCUAAUCAGCUUAUUGGUGCGAGAUUAGGAGUAAUUUUUAACAGGAACCGUUGGGGGCAUUCGAAUUUGACUGUCAGAGGUGAAAUUCUUAGAUUAGUUUGAAGGGCAAGCAACUGCGAAAGCAUUUUGUCAAACAUGUUUUCCAUAAAUCCAGAAACGAAAGUUUACGGGAUCGAAAACCAAUCAGAUACCCGCCCUUAGUCCUUUACCAUAAACCCGGCCCAACUAGAAAAUUGGAAGGCCGCCCGUUUAUCCACCCCUUCCAGAAUUUUGAGAAAAAAUCCAAAUCCUUUGGGGUUCCGGGGGUGAAACUUAAAGGAAUUGACGGAAGGGCACCACCAGGAGUGGAGCCUGCGGCUUAAUUUGACUCAACGCGGGGAAACUUACCAGGUCCAGACAUGGGAAGGAUUGACAGAUUGAAGUUCUUUCUUGAUUCUAUGGGUAGUGGUGCAUGGCCGUUCUUAGUUGGUGGAGUGAUUUGUCUGGUUAAUUCCGUUAACGAACGAGACCUUAACCUGCUAAAUAGGAGCCUAACAAGUGUUUAGGACUUCUUCUUAGAGGGACAAUUGUGUGUCUAACAACAGGGAAGCCUGAGGCAAUAACAGGUCUGUGAUGACCCUUAGAUGUUCUGGGCUGCACGCGCGCUACACUGAUGCUACCAACGAGUUAUUUUCCUUGCCUUAAAAGGAUUUGGUAAUCUUGAAGUCAGCAUCGUGAUGGGGAUAGAUUAUUGGAACUAUUGGUCUUGAACGAGGAAUUCCUCGCAAGCGCAAGUCAUUAGCUUGUGCUGAAUAUGUCCCUGCCCUUUGUACACACCGCCCGUCGCUCCUACCGAUUGGGUGAUCCGGUGAAUUACUCGGACUUGU
RNAcentral lists this ribosomal RNA (1576 nucleotides) under uncultured eukaryote. RNAcentral's name for it is "SSU rRNA". It matches the Rfam family "Eukaryotic small subunit ribosomal RNA", at positions 82 to 1719 of the family's 1831-position model. The record is from RNAcentral.